GUCUAGAGGUCAGAACGCUGGACUUGUAAUCCUGGGGUCUCGGGUUCGAUUCCCGG
RNAcentral lists this transfer RNA (56 nucleotides) under Zootermopsis nevadensis. It matches the Rfam family "tRNA", at positions 10 to 63 of the family's 71-position model. Rfam says of the family: Transfer RNA (tRNA) molecules are approximately 80 nucleotides in length. Their secondary structure includes four short double-helical elements and three loops (D, anti-codon, and T loops). Lineage: Eukaryota; Metazoa; Arthropoda; Insecta; Blattodea; Termopsidae. The record is from Rfam by way of RNAcentral.